GACGAACGCUGGCGGCGUGCCUAAUACAUGCAAGUAGAACGCUGAAGGAGGAGCUUGCUCUUCUGGAUGAGUUGCGAACAGGUGAGUAACGCGUAGGUAACCUGCCUGGUAGCGGGGGAUAACUAUUGGAAACGAUAGCUAAUACCGCAUAAGAGUAGAUGUUGCAUGACAUUUGCUUAAAAGGUGCAAUUGCAUCACUACCAGAUGGACCUGCGUUGUAUUAGCUAGUUGGUGGGGUAACGGCUCACCAAGGCGACGAUACAUAGCCGACCUGAGAGGGUGAGCGGCCACACUGGGACUGAGACACGGCCCAGACUCCUACGGGAGGCAGCAGUAGGGAAUCUUCGGCAAUGGACGGAAGGCUGACCGAGAAACGCCGAGUGAGUGAAGAAGGUUUUCGGAUCGUAAAGCUCUGUUGUAAGAGAAGAACGAGUGUGAGAGUGGAAAGUUCACACUGUGACGGUAUCUGACCAGAAAGGGACGGCUAACUACGUG
RNAcentral lists this ribosomal RNA (495 nucleotides) under uncultured bacterium. Its description in RNAcentral is "partial 16S ribosomal RNA". It matches the Rfam family "Bacterial small subunit ribosomal RNA", at positions 28 to 507 of the family's 1533-position model. The record is from RNAcentral.